RNAcentral lists this transfer RNA (73 nucleotides) under Candidatus Zapsychrus exili. Its description in RNAcentral is "tRNA-Phe". It matches the Rfam family "tRNA". Rfam says of the family: Transfer RNA (tRNA) molecules are approximately 80 nucleotides in length. Their secondary structure includes four short double-helical elements and three loops (D, anti-codon, and T loops). The record is from RNAcentral. Lineage: Bacteria; Pseudomonadati; Candidatus Omnitrophota.
GCCGAGAUAGCUCAGUUGGUAGAGCAGAGGCCUGAAAAGCCUUGUGUCGACAGUUCGAUUCUGUCUCUCGGCA